RNAcentral lists this ribosomal RNA (433 nucleotides) under uncultured bacterium. RNAcentral describes it as "partial 16S ribosomal RNA". It matches the Rfam family "Bacterial small subunit ribosomal RNA", at positions 29 to 507 of the family's 1533-position model. The record is from RNAcentral.
AACGAACGCUGGCGGCAUGCCUAACACAUGCAAGUCGAACGAAGGCUUCGGCCUUAGUGGCGCACGGGUGCGUAACGCGUGGGAAUCUGCCCUUUGGUUCGGAAUAACAGCUGGAAACGGCUGCUAAUACCGGAUGAUGACGAAAGUCCAAAGAUUUAUCGCCAGAGGAUGAGCCCGCGUUGGAUUAGGUAGUUGGUGGGGUAAAGGCCUACCAAGCCGACGAUCCAUAGCUGGUCUGAGAGGAUGAUCAGCCACACUGGGACUGAGACACGGCCCAGACUCCUACGGGAAGCAGCAGUGGGGAAUAUUGGACAAUGGGCGCAAGGCUGAUCCAGCAAUGCCGCGUGAGUGAUGAAGGCCCUAGGGUUGUAAAGCUCUUUUACCCGGGAAGAUAAUGACUGUACCGGGAGAAUAAGCCCCGGCUAACUCCGUG